Molecule: long non-coding RNA, 1202 nt
Filed under: Solanum lycopersicum (tomato)
Lineage: Eukaryota; Viridiplantae; Streptophyta; Magnoliopsida; Solanales; Solanaceae
Description: long non-coding RNA (SLYC_LNC000305)
Source: RNAcentral
AACUUCACACUGCAAGUGAAAAUAAUUUCAGAACUUUAAUGCAAUGAGAUGAAGAAACUCCAAGCUAAACCCAUAAAAAUGAAAGAUUAAAAUUUAUAAACCUAGAAAGUUGAUUCACUUGGAAUCAAAUCCUUAGUAAAAAAAAUUUCAGUUAAUUACACCAUAAACCCAUAUGAACAAAAAAAAAAUUUAAAAAGAAUAAAUAAGAAAGAGGAACAAAUUAAUUACAGCAAGUGAUAAAAAAAGCUUUGAAAUGCAAUAAAUAGUAUCCUGAAAAUGAAUGUUUAACCAGAAAGAACAAAACUUAAUGCUUUACCUAUAGGGUUUUAUCCCUCCAAAACAAAGACUACUGGAAAUUAAAAACUUGUAUUAACAACUUGUAUAAAUGACUUUUCAAUGGAGAUGCAACUACGAAUUUUUUUUCGCCUUUCAGUUGUUAAUAUGAUCUCUUAUUUUAAAGAUGGAAAUGGAGACAAAAAAAAAGUUGUUGACCACACCUUUCACUACUUCUCAAAUUGCUCUACUACUGGUGUGAAAAGGCACAAUAAGUUCAUCUGCAUCCUGCAAAUCAACUUUCAAGAAGAAAGCACACCACCAAAAAUCAAAACCUAAUAAUAAAAAUAGAAAUUCUAGCACUGAAUAAUUCAACAUGUUCAGUUUACAUAAUUCAUAGCAAAAUCGACCAACUACAUGAAGUUGACAUGGAAUUACUAUGCAAGUACCGAACAACAACAAAAAAGUACUAUACUAUAUAAGCUUAUGUUUUAUUAGCAGCUAACAUUGAAGCUAAGACUAUGUUGCAGUCUAUUUGCUUGGCAUCUCUACUUUACUCUCCAAAACUCCAAGACUCCAUUAACGGCAAUUCAAAAAUCCACAACACUACCCUACUCCAUUCGAGCACAAACAAGUUGUUGUCUUUCUCAUCAAAACCAAUAAAUCUCUCACUACUCUUACUUUAUGGGUUAUCUUAUAUCUUGUUCAAUGUUCACCUAAUGAAUAUAAUUUGUGUCUCAGAAUUCUAGGUGCGUUGUUGAAAGUGUAGAGUUGGGUGAAUCUAUUUUUGUACCUGAGAUGUCGGUAGACACUGCUCCAUUAGUCUCUGUGAACGUGAUGUCCAACGAGAGUAUUAAGGAAGAAGAAAACAAUGGCAUGAUCCAUGCUCAAUCUGCUGAUGCUGUUGAAGAAGAAAACAAUGGUCUGUC